CACGAACAACUCUAUUUUAGAAACUUAAACAUCAAAAAUCUAACAAUUACAGCAAAGAAAACAUUAAAAUAUCAACUUUCAACAUUAAAAUGACAUAUGAAACCUAAGAAAUAUUCAACUAAAUCUUAGUCCACCUAAAGUUUACUGUUGUCAAAUACAAUAAAUUUAAAAUAAACUUCAAAUAUCAUGCACUUCAAUAUCUUCUGUCAUCCCAAUAUUUCCAAGAGGCCUCAUUGGUGCCUCGUCAUCACUUUGUGCCUUCUCUUCUUGUUUCCUCGAACCAUAAUGCCACAACGUUGAAGCAUAUCUCGUGCGAAGAAGAUCUGGAUCAAAGUCAACAGUUGAAAAACCAUCAACAGUUGGAAUAUACACAUGCAUUACUCUUGCCGUGUAUAUUUGAUCACUCAACACCUACAGAAUCAUACACAUAUUUUUCUAUUAAAUCAUAGCUAUUGUAUUAAAUCAAAACAUAAAAUACAAUGAUUACAUUCACCAAUUACAUAUCAUAUUAAUAUUGAAAAUUAAAAAAAAAAAAAAAGAACAUAUCUAAUAUAUCUCUUAACAUUUAGAAAUACAGUCACAUGUCAAAACAGGACCACAUAUGUAUUUACAAAAUACAUCUUGAAGUAACAUAUCAGUAUCAAAUAUAAAUAUAUAUUUGUUCUGAAACAAAUACAUUUAAUAUGAUACAUAAAAUACAUAUCUUCACAUUACAAAGACAAAAAUACAUAUAUAAACAUAUUAUCCAUCAAAUAUAAGAUUACAAAUAUAAAAAUACAUAUCUAUACUAUAACAAAUACAUUUUAUCUGUUAUCAGUAACAAAUACAAAUCUUACAUUACCAAAUACACAUACAUAUCUAUAUUGAUAUAAAUACAACUCUUAUCAGUACCAAAAACAAAAAUAAAUACAAAUACAAAUCAGUAUCAAAAUAACAAAUACAUAUCAACACUGUAAAAAGUAUAUUUUAAAUUAUCUCUAAUAACAAAUACAAGUCUUAAUGUAACAGUGCAUAUCUUCACAUUACUAAUACAAAAAUACAUAUAUUAAAAUAUUAUCCAUAAAAUAAAAAAAUUACAAAUACAAUCUGAAAAUCAAACUUAGAAGUAACCCCAGCUAAACGACAAGAUAAAAGAGAGUUGCUCGGAUGGUAAAUACCUGUCACUAUCAACCCGAUUGUGAGUUCGAAUCACCGAAAAAGCAAAAAGGAUGCAAGCUUUUAGGGAGGAGGGUAACAAAAAAAUCUCAGCUGAACUUCUUUUUGAUUAAACAAAACCAAACUGCAUAAUCUCAUAUAGACCUCACUAACAACUAAUCCUUUAUGGGAAUCUGAGUUAUCCAAAGAUUGUUCCUUUAUUACCAAAUACACAUCAUAUAUAACAAUUAAUCAAGAAACAUAAUCAUGUCUCAAAUUUAGAAGUAAUCCAAGCCAAAUAAAUUCUUAAUUAAACAAAUCUAAACUAUAAAAUCUCAUCUUAGGCUUCAUUUACAUCUAAUCCUUUCUGGGUAUCCAAAGAUUGUUCCUUUUUUUACCAAAUAAACCUUCCAAAUUCAUUACUCCAUUAAACAAAAAUAAAAAAAAACAAUCUUGAAACUCAAAUUUAGAAUUAAACAAAUUCUUGAUAUAAUAUAAUCUUAAAAAUCAAACUACAUAAUCUCAAAUUAGGCUUCAUUUACAUCUAAUCCUUUACGGGGUUUCCAAAGAUUGCUCCUUUAUACCAAAUAACAAAUGCCCAUGAUUAAACAUUAACAUAAAACAAUUAAUCAAGAAACAUAAUAUUAUAUUAAUGACGGAUUAACAGAUAAAACUCAAGAAUAUUUGCUAAUUAAAAAUCAUCUAUAAUUUCAAAAAAAUAAAAAAGCAAAAAAGGAGAGGAACGUUACCAAGAAUCAAAGAAAUAGAGAAGUAAACAAAAACUCACUUCACAAAAGUCACCAUUAAACAAGUACCUCUCAUAAUAGUAAAUGUUUUCAACUAUUACGAUGUGCAUAUUCUGUCAUUAUCGAGUAACUCCAGAUAUUUC
Molecule: long non-coding RNA, 2023 nt
Filed under: Capsicum annuum
Lineage: Eukaryota; Viridiplantae; Streptophyta; Magnoliopsida; Solanales; Solanaceae
Description: long non-coding RNA (CANN_LNC013065)
Source: RNAcentral